GUGUCAGCCGCCGCGGUAAGACGGAGGGGGCUAGCGUUGUUCGGAAUUACUGGGCGUAAAGGGCGUGUAGGCGGUCCGCUAAGUCGGAGGUGAAAGCCCCGGGCUCAACCUGGGAAUGGCCUUCGAUACUGGCGGGCUCGAGUCCGGGAGAGGGUAGUGGAAUUCCCAGUGUAGAGGUGAAAUUCGUAGAUAUUGGGAAGAACACCAGUGGCGAAGGCGGCUACCUGGACCGGUACUGACGCUGAGGCGCGAAAGCGUGGGGAGCAAACAGGAUUAGAUACCCUGGUAGUCCACGCCGUAAACGAUGUCAGCUAGACGUCGGGGAGCGCAGCUCCUCGGUGUCGCAGCAAACGCAUUAAGCUGACCGCCUGGGGAGUACGGCCGCAAGGUUAAAACUUAAAUGAAUUGACGGGG
This 414-nucleotide ribosomal RNA is filed under the name uncultured prokaryote. RNAcentral describes it as "bacterial SSU rRNA". It matches the Rfam family "Bacterial small subunit ribosomal RNA", at positions 505 to 918 of the family's 1533-position model. The record is from RNAcentral.